This 253-nucleotide ribosomal RNA is filed under the name uncultured bacterium. RNAcentral's name for it is "partial 16S ribosomal RNA". It matches the Rfam family "Bacterial small subunit ribosomal RNA", at positions 524 to 776 of the family's 1533-position model. The record is from RNAcentral.
UACAGAGGUGGCAAGCGUUGUUCGGAAUUACUGGGCGUAAAGGGCGCGUAGGCGGCCAUCUAAGUCAGACGUGAAAUCCCCCGGCUUAACCUGGGAACUGCGUCUGAUACUGGAAGGCUUGAGUAUGGGAGAGGGAUGUAGAAUUCCAGGUGUAGCGGUGAAAUGCGUAGAUAUCGGGAGGAACACCAGUGGCGAAGGCGACUACCUGGCCUGUUCUUGACGCUGAGGCGCGAAAGCUAGGGGAGCAAACGGG